GAUGAACGCUGGCGGCGUGCCUAAUACAUGCAAGUAGAACGCUGAAGGAAGGAGCUUGCUCUUUCCGGAUGAGUUGCGAACGGGUGAGUAACGCGUAGGUAACCUGCCUGGUAGCGGGGAUAACUAUUGGAAACGAUAGCUAAUACCGCAUAACAGUAGAUGUUGCAUGAUAUCUACUUAAAAGGUGCAAUUGCACCACUACCAGAUGGACCUGCGUUGUAUUAGCUAGUUGGUGAGGUAACGGCUCACCAAGGCGACGAUACAUAGCCGACCUGAGAGGGUGAUCGGCCACACUGGGACUGAGACACGGCCCAGACUCCUACGGGAGGCAGCAGUAGGGAAUCUUCGGCAAUGGACGGAAGUCUGACCGAGCAACGCCGCGUGAGUGAAGAAGGUUUUCGGAUCGUAAAGCUCUGUUGUAAGAGAAGAACGAGUGUGAGAGUGGAAAGUUCACACUGUGACGGUAUCUUACCAGAAAGGGACGGCUAACUACGUG
RNAcentral lists this ribosomal RNA (496 nucleotides) under uncultured bacterium. RNAcentral describes it as "partial 16S ribosomal RNA". It matches the Rfam family "Bacterial small subunit ribosomal RNA", at positions 28 to 507 of the family's 1533-position model. The record is from RNAcentral.